AGCCCCUAAGUCACUGCUCAGGGAGGUGCUGGCGUCACCAGCCUCUCACAAACAACUCAUCACUGAGGAUGAAAGUACAACUGGGUGAUGCUCAUUGAUCUUCUUGGGCACCGGAGUAAUCGAAGCCUACGGGAAGCGGUCGGGGACCAGGCAGUGCGGGAGCGGGAGGUUAAAGAUAAUACUCCAGCCAGUUGGUCAGCACAGGUCUUCAGUAAUCGGCCAGGUACCCCGUCCGGUCGCGAUGCUUUCCUUGGAUUCAUUCACCCUCCUGAAGGCAGCCGGCGGCGGCUGGCCCCGAAAAUCCUAAUCAGUAAUGAAAAUGGCGCCAAUGGUUUUCCAGUUGGAUUCACAUUGAACAGAGAGCAUAAAUCGUAAACCGCACUGUAUAAAUGUGGCGUCUUAGAAUCAGUCAGUAAGUACGCUGACCCAGAACAGACUGUAAUUCCGGUCACAGAGUGAACAACCAUGAAGUGGAGCAUCCUCCUCUUAAUCAGCUUCGUUCUGUUGUUCUCUCUACCGUGUAACGCAGAAUCGGAAAAUACAACAUGUUUACUUCAGCCUGGGAAAAAAGUCUGUGAUAAGUCAAAAGAACCAGGGAGUUGCAAAGCCCAGAAAACUCGGUAUUUCUUCAAUACAGCCACUAAGAAAUGUGAGCCCUUUACUUAUAGUCACUGUGGUAACUAUCCAAGCGAAAAGAAAUGCAUGGCACGUUGUGAAAAGGAUCCAAGAUAGAAAUGGAAGAGCAUUCUUGCUGCAUUAACAUAAAUGGCACCGUUGGGAGAGAGAAAUCAGUAUCAUUUGUGAUCAGAGCUAAAGAAUGGAGAUGUGAGCAUCAAAGAGAAAACUUCACGAAAUGUCAAUAUCUUAAGUAAUUUUACUCUCGAAAUUCUGCAUGCUAAUCCACACAUACCUUUAAUUAGAUGCCUUUAAAUAAAGAAAUGUGGAAGCUGUGUGAUUUUUGUCAUCAGUUUAAAAGAAGUUAAAUCUGAUAAUUACUGCUAAACUCUUACCAUGGUGGAGAGUAUUCUGUAUUUCAGUUCUUGCAGUUCUAUUUACAAGUUGUGCAUGUGCUAAAAUCAAAAUAAAAUAAAGGAAUUACA
This is a long non-coding RNA of Mobula hypostoma (lesser devil ray), 1100 nucleotides long. RefSeq lists it as uncharacterized. The record is from RefSeq and is a predicted model, not a curated record. The transcript is spliced from 4 exons. NCBI's taxonomy places the organism in Eukaryota, Metazoa, Chordata, Chondrichthyes, Myliobatiformes, Myliobatidae.